RNAcentral lists this ribosomal RNA (254 nucleotides) under uncultured bacterium. Its description in RNAcentral is "partial 16S ribosomal RNA". It matches the Rfam family "Bacterial small subunit ribosomal RNA", at positions 524 to 777 of the family's 1533-position model. The record is from RNAcentral.
UACGAAGGGGGCUAGCGUUGCUCGGAAUCACUGGGCGUAAAGGGCGCGUAGGCGGCCUGUUAAGUCGAACGUGAAAUCCCCGGGCUCAACCCGGGAACUGCGUCCGAUACUGGCAGGCUUGAAUCCGGGAGAGGGAUGCGGAAUUCCAGGUGUAGCGGUGAAAUGCGUAGAUAUCUGGAGGAACACCGGUGGCGAAGGCGGCAUCCUGGACCGGCAUUGACGCUGAGGCGCGAAAGCCAGGGGAGCAAACGGGG